RNAcentral lists this ribosomal RNA (460 nucleotides) under uncultured bacterium. RNAcentral's name for it is "partial 16S ribosomal RNA". It matches the Rfam family "Bacterial small subunit ribosomal RNA", at positions 338 to 795 of the family's 1533-position model. The record is from RNAcentral.
CCUACGGGAUGCUGCAGUGAGGAAUAUUGGUCAAUGGGCGCGAGCCUGAACCAGCCAAGUCGCGUGAGGGAAGACGGCCCUACGGGUUGUAAACCUCUUUUGCCGGGGAGCAACGGGCGCCACGUGUGGCGCCACUGAGAGUACCCGGAGAAAAAGCAUCGGCUAACUCCGUGCCAGCAGCCGCGGUAAUACGGAGGAUGCGAGCGUUAUCCGGAUUUAUUGGGUUUAAAGGGUGCGUAGGCGGCGCGUUAAGUCAGUGUUCAAAUUUAGGGGCUCAACCCCUUCCCGCCAUUGAAACUGGCGUGCUUGAGUGGAAGAGAAGUAUGCGGAAUGCGUGGUGUAGCGGUGAAAUGCAUAGAUAUCACGCAGAACCCCGAUUGCGAAGGCAGCAUGCCGGCUUCCUACUGACGCUGAAGCACGAAAGCGUGGGGAUCGAACAGGAUUAGAUACCCGAGUAGUC